CCUACGGGAGGCUGCAGUGGGGAAUAUUGGACAAUGGGGGCAACCCUGAUCCAGCCAUGCCGCGUGUGUGAAGAAGGCCCUCGGGUUGUAAAGCACUUUCAGUGAGGAAGAACGCCUGGUGGUUAAUACCCAUCAGGAAAGACAUCACUCACAGAAGAAGCACCGGCUACACUCCGUGCCAGCAGCCGCGGUAAUACGGAGGGUGCGAGCGUUAAUCGGAAUUACUGGGCGUAAAGCGCGCGUAGGUGGCUUGAUAAGCCGGUUGUGAAAGCCCCGGGCUCAACCUGGGAACGGCAUCCGGAACUGUCAAGCUAGAGUGCAGGAGAGGAAGGUAGAAUUCCCGGUGUAGCGGUGAAAUGCGUAGAGAUCGGGAGGAAUACCAGUGGCGAAGGCGGCCUUCUGGACUGACACUGACACUGAGGUGCGAAAGCGUGGGUAGCAAACAGGAUUAGAUACCCGGGUAGUC
RNAcentral lists this ribosomal RNA (466 nucleotides) under Vreelandella stevensii. Its description in RNAcentral is "partial 16S ribosomal RNA". It matches the Rfam family "Bacterial small subunit ribosomal RNA", at positions 338 to 795 of the family's 1533-position model. Lineage: Bacteria; Pseudomonadati; Pseudomonadota; Gammaproteobacteria; Oceanospirillales; Halomonadaceae. The record is from RNAcentral.